AGAGCACUGUUUGGACGAGGGGCCCCUCUAGGGUUACCGAAUUCAGACAAACUCCGAAUGCCAAAUAAUUCAACUUGGGAGUUAGACUAUGGGUGAUAAGGUCCAUAGUCGAAAGGGAAACAGCCCAGACCACCAGCUAAGGUCCCAAAAUAUAUGUUAAGUGGAAAAGGAUGUGGCGUUGCCCAGACAACUAGGAUGUUGGCUCAGAAGCAGCCAUCAUUUAAAGAGUGCGUAAUAGCUCACUAGUCGAGUGACACUGCGCCGAAAAUGUACCGGGGCUAAACAUAUUACCGAAGCUGUGGAUUAUCCGUAAGGAUAGUGGUAGGAGAGCGUUCUAAACGUGUCGAAGCAUGAUCGUAAGGACAUGUGGAAUGUUUAGAAGUGAGAAUGCCGGUGUGAGUAGCGAAAGAUGGGUGAGAAUCCCAUCCACCGAUUGACUAAGGUUUCCAGAGGAAGGCUCGUCCGCUCUGGGUUAGUCGGGACCUAAGCCGAGGCCGAUAGGCGUAGGCGAUGGAUAACAGGUAGAUAUUCCUGUACCACCUAUGAUUGUUUGAACGAUGGGGGGACGCAGUAGGAUAGGCGAAGCGUGCUGUUGGAGUGCACGUCCAAGCAACAAGACUGAGUGUUAGGCAAAUCCGGCACUCGUAAGGUUGAGUUGUGAUGGGGAGCUGGAUCAUGUAUCCGGCGAGUCGUUGAUUUCACACUGCCAAGAAAAGCCUCUAGUUAGAAAAUAGGUGCCCGUACCGCAAACCGACACAGGUAGUCAAGAUGAGAAUUCUAAGGUGAGCGAGCGAACUCUCGUUAAGGAACUCGGCAAAAUGACCCCGUAACUUCGGGAGAAGGGGUGCUUUUUAGGGUGCAAGCCUUGAAGAGCCGCAGUGAAUAGGCCCAAGCGACUGUUUAUCAAAAACACAGGUCUCUGCUAAACCGUAAGGUGAUGUAUAGGGGCUGACGCCUGCCCGGUGCUGGAAGGUUAAGAGGAGUGGUUAGCUUCUGCGAAGCUACGAAUCGAAGCCCCAGUAAACGGCGGCCGUAACUAUAACGGUCCUAAGGUAGCGAAAUUCCUUGUCGGGUAAGUUCCGACCCGCACGAAAGGCGUAACGAUUUGGGCACUGUCUCAACGAGAGACUCGGUGAAAUCAUAGUACCUGUGAAGAUGCAGGUUACCCGCGACAGGACGGAAAGACCCCGUGGAGCUUUACUGUAGCCUGAUAUUGAAAUUUGGCACAGCUUGUACAGGAUAGGUAGGAGCCUUAGAAGCGUGAGCGCUAGCUUACGUGGAGGCGCUUGUGGGAUACUACCCUGGCUGUGUUGACUUUCUAACCCGCACCAUUUGAUCAUGGUGGGAGACAGUGUCAGGCGGGCAGUUUGACUGGGGCGGUCGCCUCCUAAAGAGUAACGGAGGCGCUCAAAGGUUCCCUCAGAAUGGUUGGAAAUCAUUCGCAGAGUGUAAAGGCACAAGGGAGCUUGACUGCGAGACUUACAAGUCGAGCAGGGUCGAAAGACGGACUUAGUGAUCCGGUGGUUCCGCAUGGAAGGGCCAUCGCUCAACGGAUAAAAGCUACCCCGGGGAUAACAGGCUUAUCUCCCCCAAGAGUUCACAUCGACGGGGAGGUUUGGCACCUCGAUGUCGGCUCAUCGCAUCCUGGGGCUGUAGUCGGUCCCAAGGGUUGGGCUGUUCGCCCAUUAAAGCGGUACGCGAGCUGGGUUCAGAACGUCGUGAGACAGUUCGGUCCCUAUCCGUCGUGGGCGUAGGAAAUUUGAGAGGAGCUGUCCUUAGUACGAGAGGACCGGGAUGGACAUACCUCUGGUGUACCAGUUGUCGCGCCAGCGGCAUAGCUGGGUAGCUAUGUAUGGACGGGAUAAGUGCUGAAAGCAUCUAAGCAUGAAGCCCCCCUCAAGAUGAGAUUUCCCAACUUCGGUUAUAAGAUCCCUCAAAGAUGAUGAGGUUAAUAGGUUCGGGGUGUAAGCGCAGUAAUGUGUGUAGCUGACGAAUACUAAUCGAUCGAAGACUUAAUCAAAA
RNAcentral lists this ribosomal RNA (2022 nucleotides) under Mammaliicoccus vitulinus. Its description in RNAcentral is "bacterial LSU rRNA". It matches the Rfam family "Bacterial large subunit ribosomal RNA", at positions 904 to 2925 of the family's 2925-position model. The record is from RNAcentral. Lineage: Bacteria; Bacillati; Bacillota; Bacilli; Caryophanales; Staphylococcaceae.